AUGUCUACAGGGCGUGGCAGGCGACCAUACCUUCGUCUCCAUCCUGGGUGAGUGCUCAGAUGCUUGUGGCCGGUCUGCACCCUCGCCUGUUCCCACAGCAGUCGCCGAGCAGAUGAGCGCUCUGCACUUGAUACACUCGCCGUCGGCAACUCCCCGGCCGGCAUCGACAGAACAGGAUAGCGAAGAGGCUCCAUUGGUAUGUCGCUGUCAUUCACUUCCUCUAUCAGCGUUCUACUGCACGAACACACCCACGACAGGAAAAUUCAGAUCUUGCAGGAAUUACAAACCCAAAUCAAUCUAGGGCCGACGAAGCAGACACAAGGGGCAAGAGUCGCACCUGUUGACCGGCUGCAGCAAGAACUCCAUGGCCGCCGGAGCCGCGUCACCGCAACCCUAAGGGAUGGAGCCGCCGCCGCUGAGCCGCUCUUUUGCAUUUACUGCACCACAAUGACGUCGCUUAGCACGCUUGAAUCACGGACCAGAAAUUCGCUCAUGUCUCGAGCCACGGCUCUGACGCCCGUUCUCGACGGCCUCGAAUAGCCAC
RNAcentral lists this long non-coding RNA (544 nucleotides) under Triticum aestivum (bread wheat). RNAcentral describes it as "long non-coding RNA (TAES_LNC011278)". Lineage: Eukaryota; Viridiplantae; Streptophyta; Magnoliopsida; Poales; Poaceae. The record is from RNAcentral.